UACAGAGGUCUCAAGCGUUGUUCGGAUUCACUGGGCGUAAAGGGUGCGUAGGCGGGUCUUUAAGUCAGGGGUGAAAUCCUGGAGCUCAACUCCAGAACUGCCUUUGAUACUGAGGAUCUUGAGUUCGGGAGAGGUGAGUGGAACUGCGAGUGUAGAGGUGAAAUUCGUAGAUAUUCGGAAGAACACCAGUGGCGAAGGCGGCUCACUGGACUGGUAUUGACGCUGAGGUGCGAAAGCGUGGGGAGCAAACAGG
Molecule: ribosomal RNA, 253 nt
Filed under: uncultured bacterium
Lineage: Bacteria
Description: partial 16S ribosomal RNA
Rfam family: Bacterial small subunit ribosomal RNA
Source: RNAcentral